UUUUUUUCCCGGGGAGUCGGCCUCGGGGCUCUGCUCUCCUACCUCAGUCUGCCCUACCCUGGAAUGGGGAAAAUGCGGACAUGCCACUCAGUCCGGCCGCGAACAGUGCUCCAGAACUCAGAGAGUUUUCCAGACGGGUGGAGAUCGCGUUCCCUGCCCGCCGAGGUCCCAUCGCUUCCCUGCUGGGAAGACAAAUGAGGCGCUUUAGCCGUCUCCACGGCCAGCCCCUCCCUCAUAACCCGAGAUUCUUUGUGGGCUCUUAGUCCAUAGCUGCCUUUGAGGUGGUGUAGACCUUGCUAACCAGGACGGCCCAGUAGGCAGAGCUCAUUUUUAUUCCUGUCUGCAAUCGUGCAAAAACGCCUCUUAUGGAAAAGCCAGAGCGCCAGGAGUCAGCAAAACACACUAAAGAUUGGGCAGUCACUGGGGAGAACACUCAGCCCGCCUGCACCCAGGUGAAAUAUACAGCCUUGUUGCUCACACAAAGCCUGUUUGGUGGUUUCUUCACACGGAUGCAUGUGACAUUUGGUGCUGAAGACCCAGGACAGGAGGACUCCUUUGGGAGACCAGUGCCCUGUUGUCGCCCUCACUCCGUGAGGAGAUCCACCUAUGAUCUCAGGUCCUCAGACCAACCAGCCCAAGGAACAUCUUGCCAAUUUCAAAUCGGAAGAUAGGAGUGUCAGGCCUCUGAGUCCAAGCUAAGCCAUCAAAUCCCCUGUGACCUGCACGUGUACAUCCAGAUGACCUGAAGCAACUGAAGAUCCACAAAAGAAGUGAAAGUAGCCUUAACUGAUGACAUUCCACCAUUGUGAUUUGUUCCUGCCCCACGCUAACUGAUACCAUAUAUUCUUCCCCCGCCCUUGAGAAUGUACUUUGUACACCUAUCCCAAACCUAUAAGAACUAAUGAUAAUCCUACCACCCUUUGCUGACUCUCUUUUUGGACUCAGCCCGCCUGCACCCAGGUGAAAUAAACAGCCCUGUUGCUC
This 984-nucleotide long non-coding RNA is filed under the name Homo sapiens (human). Its description in RNAcentral is "HSALNT0359598". The record is from RNAcentral. Lineage: Eukaryota; Metazoa; Chordata; Mammalia; Primates; Hominidae.